CAGUGAAGAACAGACUGGCAGCCACUGAGACUGAAACUGCAGCACAAGAGGCAGAGCUGACAGCAGUGAAGAACAGACUGGCAGCCACUGAGACUGAAGUAGUGAAUCUG
Long non-coding RNA from Clupea harengus (Atlantic herring), 110 nucleotides. RefSeq lists it as uncharacterized. The transcript has 3 exons. NCBI's taxonomy places the organism in Eukaryota, Metazoa, Chordata, Actinopteri, Clupeiformes, Clupeidae. The record is from RefSeq and is a predicted model, not a curated record.